This 326-nucleotide ribosomal RNA is filed under the name uncultured eukaryote. Its description in RNAcentral is "partial 18S ribosomal RNA". It matches the Rfam family "Eukaryotic small subunit ribosomal RNA", at positions 1470 to 1796 of the family's 1831-position model. The record is from RNAcentral.
CCCUUAGAUGUUCUGGGCUGCACGCGCGCUACACUGAUGCGCUCAACGAGUUUAUGACCUUGCCCGGAAGGGUUGGGUAAUCUUUUCAAAACGCAUCGUGAUGGGGAUAGAUUAUUGCAAUUAUUAAUCUUCAACGAGGAAUUCCUAGUAAGCGCGAGUCAUCAGCUCGUGCUGAUUACGUCCCUGCCCUUUGUACACACCGCCCGUCGCUCCUACCGAUUGAGUGCUCAGGUGAAUAAUUCGGACUGCAGCAAUGUUUGGAUCCCGAACGUUGCAGCGGAAAGUUUAGUGAACCUUAUCACUUAGAGGAAGGAGAAGUCGUAACA